AAUUCCCUCCAUAAUUUUUCACACAUGGUCCGCCAAUUUUUUUCACUUUAUCAAAACAUGUUUUAUCUUUCUCAAUAGAACAAAAGGUUACGCUAAAAACCCUAUUUCUCUUGCUGUUUCAAACAAACAAGCUCUUCGCAGCUCGUAAUAAAGCUCCAUUUCUCUUGGGAUUUCAGACAAACAAGCUCCGAAUGCGAUUGUGAAAUUUUCUCAAACAACAAGCUUUCAAAUCUCAUAGUGAAAUUUCAAAGGAAUCUGUUAGUGUUAUUUUGUAUUUCGGAGCUAAACCACUUGCUGUUUUGGAGUAUUCUUCUUUAAUUUGGGGAUUUUAAGGUAUAAGAAGAUGGAGGCAUGUGUAACUCCAUAUCCUGAAAUAAUUAAUUCCGAUAGAGUUUCUGGGGGAGAGCUCAAGCCAUUUGUGGAGAGAGUUAAUGCUAUUCCUCCAAGAAUAGCAAGUGGAUAUCUUCCUGGAGUCUUUGUUGAAUCAUUCCAGGAGGACAACAAGUUGUGGAAGAAGCAUGUGAAGGCUAGAACGUAUCGUAAUGCUAAGUUUCUCAGACUCUUCAAAAAAUGUCUACAGAUAUGUGUCUGAUCCUUCAAAAAUAGUAUAUUUUGAAGAAUCUCACACGGGUGCGGCAACAUUUUUAGAUAGUUUGAGCAACUUAGUCGCAAUGUACAAGAUAUGAAUGCUGGCCUAGAAAGUUUUUCUGUAGCACUAGAAUCAUCUAAGGCAUGGGUCAUUAAUGUUAUGCCAACUAUAGAUGAAAGGGACACUCUUGGUAUAAUAUAUGAUAGAGGCCUAAUUGGCAUAUACCCUGGCUGAUAACUAUAUAAAACUCUUAUCAUAUUUUCUCAUUGCACUCUAGCAUUAAUUCCCUCUCCUUUGUCUUAAUUUUCAGGACAGUAAGUUGUAAAUGAAUAAGUAAAGAUAAAAAUGUCAUUGAAACAGGAGUGUGUUACAAUUCAUUUGUCUGAUGUUAAGUUUAUUUUCAGAGAUGGUUCCUUUUCUCGGUCUUUUUAUUUUGUUGGAGUUGCAUCAGAUGUUGUCCUAGUUUAAAUUCUUAAGCAUAUGUUUAGCAAGAUGAUUAGUUUCUCUAUCCGUGACUAUGCAUAUCUUAAAGUUGUUUAAUAAUGAUUACUACUUUUUCGCUUCUUAUAUGUUCUCCACUCACUUGUCGUUGAAACAAAGGCCUUGAAUCUUCAAGUUAGUGAUAGUGUAAUUGCAUUUUCUGUUGAUUUUACUCAUUGAGUAGUUACUGCUUCUUGAUAUAUGAUGUAUAGUAAUUUGUUGAAUCUUCAUUGCAUGUCCUACAAAUAUAAACAUAACAAUUUAUGUUGAAAACAUGAUACUGUAAUGACCUGUUGAACUCAGAAUGGGCAUAGCUAUAUAAUUGUAAGGCCACGUCAAGGUGACAAAAGCAGAACAAAGAUAACAAAAUAACUAGUUAAACACCUCAUCCAGCAUGUCAAUCAAUGUACUGAAGAUAAACACACAACUUUUAUUUAAUUUCCACAAGUGUGUGAUAGGUAUUAAAUAUGACUAUUAAACUAGAAACUUCUAUGAGAUUCCUAGGCUAUGAUUAGCCAAACAGAACUUUUUUUGAGAAGGGAUUAGCCAAACAGAAUUUAUAAACUUCUAGGAUACAUGUAUAUUUCAGUACACCUAGUAUAUAUGAAGCAACACAGAAAAAAAUUAUUUAUUUUUCACAUAGGAAACGGAGAAUUGUUAAGUUAUUUGUUCUUCUAUAUCUGGACCCAUGUUAAGGCAUUUGUUCUUCUGAUUGUGCCUAAUCCCAUGUAAAUGUUAUUUGUUCAAUUUGUUCAAAUAGUUCCCAAGUUAAGCAGCUUUUUCCAGAGACAAUGUACUAUACAGAUGAGGUUUUAUUAUUCAUACCAACUGCGCCAAAAUCAACAUCGUAUGCAUAGUACAACUUCACCAUAACAUGUGUCAAUAAACUAAUAUUUUCGAUUCUUAACUUGUGUUGUAUGUAUUAAAGUCUUGAUGGAAUUUCAUUUUCUUACUAGUUUUUUUUGGCAACUUAGCAUGUAGGAAAUGUAGCUUAGAAGUUUCCUGUAUGCUUCCUUAUUUUGUAUGUGCUGCUGUAAGUUGUAGUUCUAUUUGAGUUUCUUCACGUUUAACCAUCGAACUCUAUCGAUCUCUGCGUUCAUUUUUUUAGUUUAUGUGUAAUAUACGAAUAUAUUAUAUGUGAGUGUGGUUGAUCUCUCUUCUAUUCUAGGUAUUAUCUGAUUCUAAAAUCUGAUAGCACACACGGUAUCAGGGUCCUUAACUACUAUUACAAAUUUACUGCUAGAGUUUCUGUUGUCCUCUCUAAAAUGUAUUAUGAUGUGUUUCAUAGUAAAUACCCAAAUUCUGGAAGUUGAUUAGUGUCACAUGAUAGAUUUCAGGAUGAUUUCCUACCUUCUUUCUGUAGGCUUCUUGGAAAGUUUCAAUUAGAUAAUUUUAUCAAGACAUUGAUAACUAUAUAUGGUGCUCAGACUAUCUGUGCCUCCCCCUUCUUCCAUCCUUCAUCCAAAAUCUUUGAGGCUAGCAGAGAAUCCGAAAGGAAUUAAUGGGUCUGGUACCAAUUAUACACUAACCAGGAUCUGUGUAACCGGCUGGAAGUGGAUCUAAAAGAGUAAUAAAUAAGGAAGAACAGAAAUAAAGUGAAGGAACCAAUUUCAUUGCAUAAACCCAAUUUCUAUUACAUUCAUGUAUAAGACCUCACUGAGCUUGUGAACCUUUUACAGAAAGGUAAAACCGUAAUAGAAAGGUAAUAUCGUAAAUAUAUAUAUAUAUAUACACCCCUGGUAAUGAACUGUUGUCUGUAUAACAGACUAUAAAACACAGUUCACGCUCCUCAUUCUUCUAUACCACUUUCCCCAUUUCCAUUUCCAUUUUCUUUUACUCUCUGCACGAAAAA
This is an RNA transcript of Capsicum annuum, 2921 nucleotides long. It is a transcript of the gene named lysine-specific demethylase JMJ14-like, with no coding region annotated. The record is from RefSeq and is a predicted model, not a curated record. The transcript is spliced from 3 exons. NCBI's taxonomy places the organism in Eukaryota, Viridiplantae, Streptophyta, Magnoliopsida, Solanales, Solanaceae.